Nematostella vectensis (starlet sea anemone) is the source of this 1212-nucleotide long non-coding RNA. RefSeq lists it as uncharacterized. The transcript has 2 exons. The record is from RefSeq and is a predicted model, not a curated record. NCBI's taxonomy places the organism in Eukaryota, Metazoa, Cnidaria, Anthozoa, Actiniaria, Edwardsiidae.
AUACGAUAAGCAAACUGGGCCAACAGCAAAGAAAUAAGCUGAAAUACUUCAUCAACCUCCCAAAUUACUGACGCUUAAUAUCACAGAGACUUAUUGUGUAAGUUGCGUAGGAGUGAUGACGUCAGAGGAUCCUAUGAUCGACGCAUGCUCAUGAUGGCUCGCAUGUAACCCCAGCCAAUAACCGGCUUGACCUGUUUUGGCGGGAAGCUUGCGUGGGACAAUGGUUCAUAGCUGGAAUUGUCUGCAUGACCCUGGCAUAUUUGUCAAGGAAACAGUAUACUAUCGUGAAGGAGGAAGAUUCAGCCUGAUUUAUUGCAUUCUUCCUUGAUGAAUAAUAAAAUAAAUCAAGGUUCAUGGUUCAAACGGAUGUUCUAGAAUCCCAUUUGCCGCGUUUCUCUUCCUUGAAUCACACACACAAGACUUGCACAACAAUAACUUUUCUAGAAUUUAUUCGCAAAUAAGCCAUAAGAAAUAUGCACAAACCAUACAAAAAUAGAAAAAAAACAUUUUUUUUUUAUAAUAUACAGCAGUACUGACAAAGUAAUAGGCUGAUAUCGUAAUAUUCAGGUUCGGAGGCGAACUGAGGAAGAAAUUUUACAAAUUUUCCAGGGAAGGAGAGGAAAAGGUACAGGUAUCGUCAUGAAUAAAGAUAAAUCAAAACAUAUCAAAAACCCUUGCACAGCAAUAAAUAAUUAUAGCUAGUCAUUCUUUGAUGAAAAGCAGACUUCGGUAGAAAAAAAUCUAUUCUAGAAUUGCCAGAUUUAGGCUUAUAAAAAUGUACAAACUUGCCAAAAAAUAUCCGCUAGCAUAGCGGUCACCUUUCAUUUUCCACGUGCGGACACCAGAUGAGAACGAAAAGCCGUGAAAUUGGUUAGGCGUGCCCGCGAAAAUUAGAAACAGCGGUGUCUUCAAUGUUCGUAUCACAUUUACACAUACUGACUACUAGUUACAACUAUAUAGCUUAUAUUAUUAAUCUAGAAUCUUUAUGCUCGCGACAAUUAUAUCAGAUAUUUAUUUUCAUGCUUAUCUGUUAAUGGUAGAACUCUACUUUGUCAAAUUUUAUAUAAAUAUGUAGUAUUUAGUAUAUCUAAGCUUCGGUAAUUCGCAAACCACUCGAAGAAACCCGGCAUCCCUAGCGCGCUUACUCAAACAGUCCAAGCAUUCUUAGCGGGCUCAUUAAAAAAAAAAAAAAAAUCCAAGCAUUUUUAGCGG